UCGUCUUCAUCAACGUCUUCUUCACCAUCUUCAUCACCUAUAUCUGAGUCCUCAUGUUCUUCAUCAUCACCCAUGUUUAUAUCUUUAACUUCUUUGUUCACUUUAGGUUUUUUGUUUUGGUCAUGUUUCUUAUUGGAUGUAUAGAAGUCUUCAUUACAUAAUUUCUUCAGCUUCCGAAUCGUCCUCUUCGCCUGCAAGUUCCAAAAGUC
RNAcentral lists this long non-coding RNA (209 nucleotides) under Helianthus annuus (common sunflower). RNAcentral describes it as "hypothetical non coding rna". The record is from RNAcentral. Lineage: Eukaryota; Viridiplantae; Streptophyta; Magnoliopsida; Asterales; Asteraceae.